Catharus ustulatus (Swainson's thrush) is the source of this 1794-nucleotide long non-coding RNA. The record is from Ensembl. NCBI's taxonomy places the organism in Eukaryota, Metazoa, Chordata, Aves, Passeriformes, Turdidae.
GAAAUGUCCAGCAGGAAUUUGGGGGUGAGUGGAAUAAUUUAAAGCCUUCAGGAGGAAAUUGCAAAUAAUUUGCAAUGUUCUUUAUGCCAAAAAAGAAGAGCAACACUUAACAUCUGUACAGACUGCUCGGGGGUUGGGGAAAGACCUCAACAAAGUAUUCCUUAGAAUGUAUAUAAUACAAAUGCCUACACUGGCAAUCUUUUUUUUGAGUGUGGGGCUGGGGUCCUGUAGGUUUGUUUUCAAACAGAUGGAUAAACAGAAACAAAACCUCUCCUUCUAAUCCCUGUCUCCUGUAGCCCCUCGCCGAGGAAAGCUGUUUCCAGAGCCGCGGUGUUUUGCGAGGAACUGGAAACCACGUAGCUCCAGGUACCUCAUGAGGCAGAUUUCCUCAUUCCCAGCAUCUGAGGAAGUCCAGGAGCUUAGAGAACAUCUUCCCUGGGCAAUAGGAGAUCUACUGGGCUCCUUUUUGGAGAUGGAGAACAAGCCGCUGAGAAGGAUUUUUCUAAAGACUUAUCUCCUGGCAUGGAGAUUUCCUUUACAGACCAAACUAGAAAGAGGGAGAUGUGAUGGUAUUUAAGGGUGCUUAAUUAUGUUAGUUACUUUUGGGAUGAAGGUGUUAGGCUUAACAGGACUCCUCACUGAUUAAUGUGAUUUUACUCAUGAGGGUAACUGUUUACCUGCUGGGAAAAAUAUCCAGGACAUAGGACUCCAUUGCUGCUGUCUUUAGAGCCUCCCCGUCUGGACUAACCAGUGACUAGUGUGUGCCACUAGGUUGAAAAUCGUCUCCCAUCCACAUCCAGCACACUUCUGAUUUCAGUCAGCCAGAGCUUACUUCAAAAUACCAAAAGGGAUUGUAAAAAUCCAGAUUUUCUUUUUGUGCUUUAUACUGAACAUGUGAACAACAAUGCUGUGUUCCCCUGAGCCUCAAUCUUGAAAAACACAUUUGUGCUUAACUUUAGGCAUUUGGCUAAUCCUGAUGACUUGAUUUGGAUUACUUAGUUGCUUAUCAUUCACCAGAACCUCAAAGCACUUUGUGAGAUGAAGACACAUUACUGGAUGUAUCACUAGGACUCCUUGCACUUCGUAGUGAAGACCAAAUGCUGCAGGAUAAGACAAUGGUUUCAGUAGCCUUUGUAGACCACAGCUACACUGAAUUAAAAUGAGUGAGAGUUUUACCCAAUUAAAAGGAAUCAUAUAAUCAAUUCACCAGUCCUAGUGUUUAAUUUUAUAUUUAAAUCAGUGUGGUAAAGACAAUGGUGAAUGAGCCAUAUUUUGGGGAUGUUUUGCUUCUUCUCAUACUUCUGAGAGUGCCUAAUUGCACAUAUAAGUUAAACCAAUGCUGUGGGGAGGUCACUGGAGAGACAGAUAUCCAGGACAGAGGACAGGAUGCUUUAAUACGGUCAUUUUACUUGAUUACUAGGCACAUCCCUACAGGUUGAAUUCCUCUCUCUAGGGCAAACAGUGAAUCAAGGAGUGGCAUAAGUUGGCAUUUCCACUUCUUCAUCACUGUUUAAGUCUGUCAUUUGGUCUAUGGGAUGUAGGACAUGGGUAGCAAGCAGAGAAGCCACUACAGGUUGUGUUUGUCUGCUCGGAAAAAAAAAACAAAACAGGGAAGGUGCUAUAUUUAGCAAGAAUGAAAUGGAAUUCUCUGUGUCAUCUGUGCUCCAGGGACUGGAGGCCAGCUCAUGAGACCAUAAAAGCCAAGGGGUCUGGAAGAGGGAUUUCUACAUUAGCUCCCCACUCCUUUCAGGGUCAGCUAAGGGAAGAGAUCUGUGCAACUGGUGCUAAUCCAAU